AUGAACGCUGGCGGCGUGCCUAAUACAUGCAAGUCGAGCGAACAGAUAAGGAGCUUGCUCCUUUGACGUUAGCGGCGGACGGGUGAGUAACACGUGGGUAACCUACCUAUAAGACUGGGAUAACUUCGGGAAACCGGAGCUAAUACCGGAUAACAUUUGGAACCGCAUGGUUCUAAAGUGAAAGAUGGUUUUGCUAUCACUUAUAGAUGGACCCGCGCCGUAUUAGCUAGUUGGUAAGGUAACGGCUUACCAAGGCAACGAUACGUAGCCGACCUGAGAGGGGGAUCGGCCACCCUGGAACUGAGACCGGGUCCAGACUCCUACGGGGGGCAGGAGUAGGGAAUUUUCCGCAAUGGGCGAAAGCCUGACGGAACAACGCCGGGUGAGUGAUGAAGGGUUUCGGCUCGUAAAACUCUUUUUUUGGGGAAAAAAAAACGUUUAAGUAAUUGGGCAGGUUUUGAGGGUACCUAAUCAGAAAGCCACGGCUAACUACGU
This 495-nucleotide ribosomal RNA is filed under the name uncultured bacterium. RNAcentral's name for it is "partial 16S ribosomal RNA". It matches the Rfam family "Bacterial small subunit ribosomal RNA", at positions 29 to 506 of the family's 1533-position model. The record is from RNAcentral.